AUUAAAGCGGGCACGGCCCGCGAUCGCAGCAGCGCGGACUACGAGUCCAGUGGUUAUUAGAGCGGGCACGGCCCGCGAUCGCUGCAGCGCGGACUACGAGUCCAGUGGUUAUUAGAGCGGGCACGGCCCGCGAUCGCAGCAGCGCGGACUACGAGUCCAGUGGUUAUUAGAGCGGGCACGGCCCGCGAUCGCAGCAGCGCGGACUACGAGUCCAGUGGUUAUUAGAGCGGGCACGGCCCGCGAUCGCAGCAGCGCGGACUACGAGUCCAGUGGUUAUUAGAGCGGGCACGGCCCGCGAUCGCAGCAGCGCGGACUACGAGUCCAGGUUAAUAGA
Long non-coding RNA from Astyanax mexicanus (Mexican tetra), 334 nucleotides. RefSeq lists it as uncharacterized. The record is from RefSeq and is a predicted model, not a curated record. NCBI's taxonomy places the organism in Eukaryota, Metazoa, Chordata, Actinopteri, Characiformes, Acestrorhamphidae. The transcript has 3 exons.